AUUUGCCAAUAAUAUGUUUAUGUUGCCAUUCACCUACGAAGGCGAGACAUCGAAAAAGCAUCGACAAUCGGUGCCAGAUUGGUUCUCUCUGCAGUCGUAAAGCAUUCCUGGUGGGCAGCUACGCUUUAUCUUACUAAGAUCGAAGUGCUUGCACUCACAUAACUUCUCAUCCUUCGUGUAGAUGCAUCGCAGAGCCGUGUUUCCACUGCAUGUACUUGGCCGAUGGCCCCUUAAUCCGUGUCUCGAGCAGCGGCAGACUAUGAUGAUGCCGAGGAUGAGCCACACAACCGAUUGCAUUGCCCUCAACGAUAGUGAAAACACUGAAGAACGUUUAUGGCCAUUUAACAGCGAUGUGGCCACAUCUAAUCCGUUACGAAUUAGACCUGAAUUGUGGCAAAUUUGUGGCAUUGCUGAAUGCAGUUUUAAGCGGAAAGAGCGAAGACUCAUGAAAGUCGAAUCGAGCAAUCUUCUACACUAGGAAAUAUUUUGAUAAUAUUUUGGUAAGUGAUUGUAAACUCUUCAAACUGAUUCUUUAUGUUGUAAAGGUUGAAAAGCCCUUAUAUCCUGGAACCAUUUGGUGGAAAGGGUUAAGCACUUUUAGCACCAUUUCUUUUUUCUGCAAGUGUAACAAGUCAAGACCAAUUAGUGCCGGCCCGGUGGGCUCUGGUUGGAAAAUUAAUAAGCAAAGCUUGUCAGAUCGGGUCUGGGGAUGGGUUGGUCUGGUCUGGUGUGGAGCUGCACUCGUUGCGAGUCAGACUGGGACAUGCACAAAUCGCAUUUGAUUCAAUUGAAGCUCAAAAUUAUUGAUUGAAAGGCAGCAGCAGCAGCGGCAGCAGCAGCAUCAUCAAGCUGCAAGCUGAACAGCCAGAAAACCCAGCCCCGAUCCAAACUGGAGCAGAGUUUUCUUUAUGGAGGUGGUUGCGGUUGCGGAAAAUUGCUCGUUUGCACAUGAGCUCAGCUGAAAAUUGCAACGCGAGACACGUAGAAAGGAACCCUAGCCAAAUGAUUGGCCGUGUCAGAAAAACUUAUCACGAAUCUCUCGAAUGUCCGUCGGUUAUGUUGGUUAUUGGGUACGGUAUGGGAUUUGCUUUCCCCCUGCCUUGACAGCUUAUCAGCAGAACUCUGUGUUUUCAAUUACGCUCCGAGGAUAAUAUGCCAUAAGCCAAAGAAAUAGAGAGAGAACUUUUUCACCAUCUCCCAUUAGUUUUUGCUCUCGUGAAGUCUUCUGGAAUUGACUGCCAAUUGAAGCGGUUUCGAGGAGCAAUCAAACAAAUGCACACUAAGAACGAAAUCUUUUAACUAAGAUUGAGGAAACUUUAAGUAAGAGGUGCAUUUCAGAGGAUAUGUCUGAGAGGAGAAUAGUAAGAAUAUUUCAUUUGUUUCAGAUUCUUUUUAGCCCCUGAAUUUCUCUACCGUCUAAGCCAGGCUCUUCUACUAUAGAUUUAACGAUAAUAAGAAAAGACAGUGAGAAUUCGUCAGAUGUCUACAUUUUUUUCAUUCGAAAUCCAUCAAUUGAUCUCAGUUAAACUGCUCUAUAUAAAGCUUCGCAAAUUCAAUCUCAUCUAGAAAUAAAUAGCGACUUUAUGUACAUCAAAUUCAAAUGCACUUAAAGUCUUGAAAAUCUCUUGGAAAGCUGCUCACAAUGCCAUCGUUAAUGGAUCAAUGAAUGCAAUCAGCACCCACAUCCACAUCCACGUCCAGCAAUCAAUACUCAUUGACUCCGAUUGCAGAUUGCAAUCCAAGUUAAACCACAAACGCUUUGGGUGUAAGUGGAGGCCACUCGAAAGUCAUCAAAGCUGUUAUCUAAUGGAAUUCUUAAACUUCUGACCACCCCCCAGUCCAGCUCCAGACACACACCCCAUGGGGUGUGGACGUUGCACAGCUUGGCCAUAAUUAAACGUGCAACGCAUAAUGGCGCCCUAAUGGCUAAUGAGGGAGCCAGCAGGGUAGGGAAAUGGUUGGCAGGAGAAAUGCUAGAAAGGAAUGAGAGAGAUGCCAAGCUGAGAAAUUUGCAUUUUUAUACCAUGCACUCGAAAGACUAUUGCUACAGCAGAUAUAAAGCAGAGAAUGGGUUUUUUUUUUCAAACCUUAUGUCUGAAAUUAAACCCACAAUAAGUGUUGUUGCCAUUGCUAUAUACCUAGGUACACGGAACCAUCUGUUUUGGCUAAUAUUUUCGUCACCUACCUACCAAUUUUAACUUGUUUACGUACAUAGGUAAUAUUCAAUGGUCUGCAUGCCAUUCCUGUCUUGGCUGCCGCCAAUGGAAUUGAAAAUUAAGUCAUUAAACUGGGGUAGAGGCCAGGGCCAGGCCAAGUGGCGAGUACGUAUUUUUUUUAGUGGAAUAACUGCCAGCUGGAAUGAGAUCUCGUCCAAAGAUUAAUGAUUCUCGAAAGGCGAUGGACGGGAGAUGGACAGAGUUGGACAGGGAGAUCUGUCUGGUUGGGUGCAAAUUUCCCUGCAAUUAUUUCCAUAUCAACGUGAAUGCUCCGUGAAAAGUCGCGCGACUCGAGCAAUGAAAAACCGAUUUGCUGUUGUGACAAUUGUAAUUUUUCACUCGCUUGAUUUCAUUGUUUGGGGGAAACUGAUGCUGCCACCCACACCCACAGCCACUUCCUCAUCAGUUGCUUUCCGCUGCUCUGCAGAUAAUCAGAGGUUCCUUUUUGCCCCUCAGAUCCUUGUGCUUUUGGUUCUGCAUUUCAUUUAAAUGAUUACGGUUUUUCAUUUUCCCUUUUCCCCAUUUAUAUUCUCAGUGUGUUUUCUUUUCUUUUCUUUUCUUUGUUUUUGCGUCCGCCUGGCGACCAUCACGUGAGGCGUACAUUUUUCACUGGCCUCUCUCCUGAAGAGCGCCUGGGCCGUCUUUUGGGUAUAUUUUGCACUCCAUUGGCAGUCGGAGGGGUCUCUGGGAUGACCAAUUGGUUUUAUGGCCCACCAUCCUCCACACUUUAUGCCUCCUGUUUAUGUUGGCAAAUUUUCUUUUACGAUCCUUUUCAUUCCACUUCAUUUUGUUAAUCAAUUUGUGUGUUGGUGUCUGAGCGCACUGAAAGAGAGGCUGACUAAAACAACAUUCGCCUUCCAUCAAAAGAAAGGGAAAAAACGGCAAAGCAUUUGCUCACAAAAAGGAUAACUCAGUUGGCAGCUCAUUUCGCAGACAGACCAACUAAAAUUCAUUGUAUAAAAUAAAGUUAAAUUUACAAAACAAUUAUUCUUCAUGAGAGACAAAGAAACUUUAUUAUUUUUAAAAAUAAAAGUGGUUAUGCUGCAGGGAGAAUGCCGGCCAGAAAAUUUGAGCAGAAGCUAUCGAAUACCCAAAUAAAUUACAAAUAAAGAUGAUACUUUCAUGCAAAGUUCUCUCCGUUUUAAAUGAUGUUUUGCUGCUGAAACUUUACGCCACAAAAACAGUCGCAGACACAGUUUAAAGUAGUAUAGAAAGGAAAUGGGCAUAUUUAUGACCAAGAGAACUUUAAACUCAAAGUCGCAUAACUCUUUGUUAGGUGUGCUCCCGCUCUCAAGAGUUUAAUAAGUAUAACCCUGAAUAAGGCACAACUUUUGUGGUGGUGGGGAAACUGUUUUAUGCAUGCAAAAUAGUUGAAUAGUUUUUCGUUUUCCCACUCAAAAUUAGCUUGCCGCAAAUUGAAUACUUCUAACCAACAUGUACAUAUGUACAUAUAUCUAUGAAUGGUUGGACAAAAAUGUAGCUCAUGUAAAAAUAAUAUAAGUAUGCGGUUUCGACUGGCCCCAGCGCUUGCACAUGUCAAUUAUGCAAAUUCGUUUUUCGCUUUUAUGGCCACCACGAAAUGUUCCCAAAAUGUUUUUAUAAAUUCAUUAGGAAACUAGUCCUCUACUUCAUCUAUUUCUCUCUCUCUUUAGAGCUUUUCCCGCCUGGUCACAAAAAUGUUUGCCUAAUUUGAUUUUCUUCUCAACAAAAAGAAGAAAAAAAACACACAAGGAUAAAAGAUAGUUGGAGUGGGGUAAACUACAAAAUAAUAAGUUUAAAGUUUAGUUUGAUGAGGCGGAAGAAGCGUCAGUUUUCAGGAGAGAGCCAAACAAAUUUAAAGUCAUGUUAAAAUUGAAUAAAAACAUAAAGAAGAUAAGCUUCUAAGUUGGAGCUAUGUACAUACACCACACACGGAAAGUAGUGAAGACAUCUAGAAGACAUUGAAUAUAAUGGUUCCAUGCCCAAGCCAAAUCGAUCAAUAAAUAGCACGAUUUAGUGGUCAAUUUUUGCACCUUAAACCGAACCGCACCACACAUAAAAUGUAAUUCGAAUUUCAAUCAGUUAGACACCAUCAAAAUUAAAUUUAAAAUAAAUUACAAUUACCAAAAAUAUAAAAUAUGAGCCAAGCCACACGACCACUGACGGUCGACAUGAUACAAAAAUACUCGUAAAUGCAACAUUUUUAGAAUAUCUCUUGGCUCCCCCUCCACACCCCUUUUGGUUGUUGUGUGGCACCGACAGACCAGUCCCUAAACAUUGGCCCCCUGAAGCCCAGAAGCCAUCCAGAAAGAGAGUGCGGUCCCACUGAUGGGGCAUAGAGUAAUAUUUAUUAUCACAAAACAUUUGUGCAAAUGUCCUUCUCGCAUAAGCAACGGCGAUGUCGGCCGGUCCUUGGAGAACAUUUAUCUUAUUAUCUUUGCAGCAACAGCAACAAUGUCGCAUAAAUAAGACUCAGUACAGUCCGGAACAGCCAGAGCAACAACAAGGCCAACAAUGAGAUGAUGAGCAACAUUAGGCAAGGACAAACAAAAGCCAGAGCAGCAGGCUUCAACGAGGCUCAGACAAAAACCAAAAGCCAAGUCAAGCCAACAGACCGCAGAGCAGAAAACAACAACAACCAUACUCGCACUCGUAGAAGGGCCACAAUAAGAGCAACGUAAACAAUAAAAUACAUGUAAGAGAACUAUAGCCGAUAUACUAGCGGCUAUAUGGGAUAUGAGAUACCCCUCUGUAAGAGUUACUUAACGAAAAUCACACUCAGAUCAAAGGAGAAGGAAAUUCUUGAAAGGUGUCCACGGAAUAUUUGCCUGUAACUUGAGCUUGAAAUGCCAUAAUAAAUACAAAAAAAGUAUAUCCCUGUCCCCCAUAGAUUACAGGGCAGAAGCAGUUGCAAUUUUUGGCAAAAGCCUUGCUACCAUGACAGCCAUGGAAGAAGGGCUUUAGGCUGAAGCAGGGACAGAGACAGAGACAGGCCGCAAAAGUUGCUUAUACGCCCCCCCCCCUGUGCUUGCUUUUCUCCGCCUCUGGCAAUUCUUUUGCUCCCCCCCCCAUACUUCUAACUAUUUGUGUGUGUUGAUUUGCUUUGUUUUUCCCACCACACAGAAGCCUGGAAACUUUUUGCAUGUGGGAAAUUUUAUAAUUGAUUAAAGCCGCAUUUGCAUUGCGACUUACAAGCAGCUUAACAUUUUGCGUGUUCGUCCCCAUAUUAUUUUUUGGGGCUUUCUCUAUUCAUUUGUGUGCCUCUGGCCAACUUGCAAUUGAAAUUUGUUUGUAUUUUGCAUUUGUACUAUAGUAAUUAAAAAUCUACAGAGAGUUUCGGUGUCCCCUAGGCAAACGGAUUUACAAAAAAUGGUAAAAUAAAAAGUGUGGCAUAAAAUAUUUACACAAUUGCGGAAAUGCUGAAAGUGAUACUGUUAAGCCCGUGCCAGAAUAUUUGGACAUCAAACAUUGCGAGCAUCUGUAAAAAUAAUGGAUUAUAUUGGUGGAUUUAUUGUGCGGCUUUUUGUGUUUCAUUCGUUUGCAAGCAUUUUCGUCUGUUCUUUUUGUUUUCCUUCAAUGUUUUCCAUUUUCAACUUUAAACAUCAAGCUAGAAACCAUGAAAAAAUGCAAAACAUUUCUCCGCUUCUUAAAUAACAUUUCCGUCAACCAUUUUUCCAGAAGACACAAAAAAAACGGGACAAGAAAAAGGUAAAAGGGGCAACAACACAAAUGGCAACCGAAUUGCCCACGGGGAUUGCAGUUAAGCAGUAAGAUCCAGAGAGUGGAGUGCGGAGAGCACUCUCCUGGGUCUCCUCUGACUCUGACUGGGCCUAAGCCAAUCUGCUGCAAAUGGAAAAAUAAUAAAAUCAAAAGGCCAAAAAGCAGAGCCAAAGCAAAAACCAAAAACCAAUACAAACCCCAGUUAUGGGGGCCAACCGAAACUUUAGCAAUAAGCCAAACGGAAAACUUGGACUCAUAAUCAGGCGGUAAAGGUCGAACCAUUUCUUGUGGCUGCCAAAAAUGGAUGGAAAAUUCGAAAUAAAGAGAAUACGGAGGGUAUGAAUUUUCCUUAACGAUUUGCAUUGAUUUCUCGAGCCUUCUGGCUCGAUGCCCUGUGAUUCAGACAGAAGUUUAGCUCAUAUUUGAGCUGUUUCUGAAGGUAAAGGCUUGAACAUUAUUUUCAAUAAUUACUUUUAAGAACAAGAAAAGAGAGUAAGAAAAAGUAUCAGUUAUUAGAAGUCUCCUUAUUUCUUUGUCUAUUAUUUGCUUUGGUGGUUGAUGAAAAAUUAUUUAAAGUCUUGCCCACCACAUCAUUAAAGUUAGCCAGAAAUUGAAAUGCUGUCUGGCAGCAAUGUUGUUGUUGUUGUGUGGAAGAGUGGACGGAUCCUGCCAAUGUUUAUGCAAUCCUGUGGCCCCACAGCGGCAACUGCAACCGCAACACCAACAACUACAAAAACAGCAAGAACAUUUUACCAACUGGAACAACAGGAAUAACAACAACCAAGUCAUUUUCUUGUAAAACAUACACAACAUUUGGCCAUUUUUGACUGCGCCUGGGCUCCACAUUAUUCUGCUACCCAAACAGGAGGGCAUAACGAUUUUAUGCAGACGUUUGUCAUUCAGAAAUAACUGAAAAGGCCAUCGAUAUCCAUCUGUCAGCUUCUAUGGCAACUAGUCAUUAGGGCGAGCUUGUACAUUGCUUCAGUACAUCAUACAUCGCCCAUACCAAUGUGAAUUUUAUUUUGCCUUUAAUUCGUUAUAAAUUUGGAAAUAUGUUUAUGUAAGGGUAUCCAAAUCUUUGCUGCCAGCUUUCUAUAUAACUUCACUUUUUUAUUGUUGUUGUUUUUGCUGCUGCAUUUUGUUGUUGGGCCAUUUUAGUAGACAAGUUUUUGGCAGUUGUUGUUUUUCAAUAUUUGCUGCUGCUGCCGCGCUAUCGCUGCAACGACAGGCGCUAUUGUGGUUAUAUUUGUUGUAUCUGCGGCUGGCUCUGCUAUGGUGUAUGUUCUUUAAUCGGUAGGGUUAAGGGGUAUACCCGGUUGUACUUAUCUGAUAGCAGGAAUGCCAAUAGGUACAGUCAGAGACACGGGUUUAUAUUUUACUGCACGUAAAAGUGUUUUUUUUUUUUGUUUACUAUUUUAUUUUCUUACAACAGAUACUUACUAGUCGACUCCAUAAAAAUAAACCCACAAAAUAUUUAUCUUUUCUCCUAUAUUGUCUAUUUUUUGUUUGGUUUGGUGGUUGUUGCUGGCGUCGAUUUUUCCUUCAGCAUUCGCACAAUUUCCGUUGUCAGUCGUGUGUUUUGUGUUUUGCUCGCUUUGCUACUAAUUUUUGCCGCAUGUUCAUGAACCAAAAAAUUGCUGUUGCUCACAUUGCCAUGCAGCCCCAUGCCAAGCCACAGUCAGAUCCGCACAUCCUGUCCCCACUCAUUGGAGCCAUUCCCGAGUCAACUCUUAGUUCGUUCGAGUCCAACCUGUACCACGGAGUAUUACGUGUCGAUAUAGCCAAAUGUGUCUUUAAUACCCCUAUUUCCGGGUGAAUAGAGAUUCAAAGACCCUUCUUUUUAUUGAUAAAUGGAAUGAUAAAUCUGCUAGGGUAUCAUGAAGCUGUUUCUCUUACUUGUUGUUGAAUUUUUGUGUGUUAUUGUUGUUAAAGUUGUAUGCUUGUUGUUGUUGUUGUCAUUGUUGGUGGAUUUUCUGAGUUUUUUGUUGUCUGACAGUUGGCAGGAAAAAUAUUAACGAUGCCAGAACGAGUUUCAAAACACACGCAGAUGUACACACAUUUUUGCCUUGUAUGCUUUGCCUUUUCUUCUUUUUCUCUUUUGUUGCGAAAAAUAUUUACUAUAGUUUUACCGUUAUUCUCGGUUGGUUAUGCUCCUGUUUUUUCCGUUGCCCUUCGUUCGCACAGUUUUGCAAACUAUUUUGCCAUAAUUGCGGCACAUUGUCGUUGCCAUUAGCUCUCUCUUUCACCACCACAUAAUACUGUCUCUUUCUGUAUUUUUGUUGGUAUGCAUGACACACUCGUGUCCGCAGUUUUUAUCCACACUUUAAGAACAUUUAUUCAUAUUUUUUAUAAUAAUUGAAUUUAUUUUUGGCAACGCGCGUUUCAUGUUAAUUGGAAGCGAAAUUGACGUAAUGAAAUUUGAUGGUUUUUAAUCGAAUAUAAUAAAUAAUUGACUGGAAUAUCUGUUUUGGGUAUGUUCUUCAGAAAAAUACAAAGGCACAAGAAAGGAAAUACACUCAGAAAAUGUCAUCAUUGAUUAACAAUAUUCCAUCUGUGGACUUUCUUGUGUUUUGUCUCAAUUACACAGAUAAAAGUCUCAAUUAAAAAUAGUAUUCGACUAAAGCUACAUAUAUAUUCUGGUGUAAGUAUUUUAUUUUUAUUUAUUUAUAAUACAGAUCGAGUAUAACUCUUCUUUACACUCUUUUACACUUAAAUCUCUUGAAAUUCUUGGACUUUUCCAGUGUACUCCUAUGACAUGGUUGCUCAUUAAAGGAAAAAACCGAAUAAUACUCCUCUCGUUCUCUUUUGAGUGCCAUGUGCAGCUUCAUCUCACAUCGCACGGGAAGCUUGCAAGUAAUUAAAAAAUAUACCCAAAUUACAGGGCACAAUGAGAACACAACAACGGCAAAAACAACAAGAACAACAACAACAACAGCAUCGACGAUGGCAAACGGCAAUCAUAAUGAUUGCAUGAACGUAAUGCAAUUUAAUGGCCAACAAUGGAGGAGCGGACAGUGCCAACUGAUGGGCGUAACCACACUCGGACGGAGGCUUGAAGUGUUGCAGAUAUUGGUCAAAAGUGCCGCCAAUACUGUGCCGGACAUUGAACUGCAGAUGGAAGCGAAUCUGGACAGUGGGAUGCGAUGUGGUGGCCAGAGGUGGGACAACAAAAGCCACAGCCAGAGAGCCGAAGCCGAAGCCGUCGAGAGAUAAACGCCCACAUGGGCAGCUAUCCGGACAGGAUGAACUGAUGGACGGACAGCGACAAAGUGCGUUCACAUAAUAAUAAUGGAAAUAAUUUAACUUAUUGGAUUUUAAUGGGAUUACACAUGCGCAACAUGGCCGCUGCGGGUAUUAAAAGUUGGUCAACUUCCCGGACACGGACCCUGGACUGGACCAAACCAGACCAAAGCGAAUGACUGUAAUGGCCCUUGGCCAGCUCCUGGCCAACGGAAAUUCCGGCCAACCCAUGAUGAUAAAGAUAAUGAUGAUGUUGAUGGGCCUUAUCCUCCCACACCGAACAGGGAGCGGCAGCGGCCCAUUUCAUGCUGAUUGCUGUGAUUGCCGC
This 9483-nucleotide long non-coding RNA is filed under the name Drosophila guanche. Lineage: Eukaryota; Metazoa; Arthropoda; Insecta; Diptera; Drosophilidae. The record is from RNAcentral.